CUUGACCGAGCCGAGCCACAGUGGCCGGUCGGUGUCGCGGUCCCGGCCGUAGGUGGCGAUCAGCGCCUGCGCCUC
Molecule: antisense RNA, 75 nt
Filed under: Micromonospora sediminicola
Lineage: Bacteria; Bacillati; Actinomycetota; Actinomycetes; Micromonosporales; Micromonosporaceae
Description: ASpks TB sRNA
Rfam family: ASpks TB sRNA
Source: RNAcentral